Molecule: ribosomal RNA, 253 nt
Filed under: uncultured bacterium
Lineage: Bacteria
Description: partial 16S ribosomal RNA
Rfam family: Bacterial small subunit ribosomal RNA
Source: RNAcentral
UACGAAGGGUGCAAACGUUGCUCGGAAUCAUUGGGCGUAAAGCGCACGUAGGCGGCCUCAUAAGUCGGAUGUGAAAUCCCUCGGCUCAACCGAGGACGUGCAUCCGAAACUGUGAAGCUCGAGUAUGGAAGAGGGUCGCGGAAUUCCCGGUGUAGAGGUGAAAUUCGUAGAUAUCGGGAGGAACACCAGUGGCGAAGGCGGCGACCUGGGCCAAUACUGACGCUGAGGAGCGAAAGCGUGGGGAGCGAACAGG